RNAcentral lists this ribosomal RNA (5638 nucleotides) under Paenibacillus sp. IHB B 3415. Its description in RNAcentral is "partial 23S ribosomal RNA". The stretch from base 2367 to 5635 matches the Rfam family "Bacterial large subunit ribosomal RNA". The record is from RNAcentral. Lineage: Bacteria; Bacillati; Bacillota; Bacilli; Caryophanales; Paenibacillaceae.
AGAGGCAGACCAGGGGAACUGAAACAUCUAAGUACCCUGAGGAAGAGAAAACAAUAGUGAUUCCGUCAGUAGCGGCGAGCGAACGCGGAACAGCCUAAACCAAGGGGCUUGCCCCUUGGGGUUGUGGGACGUCUCACAUGGAGUUACAAAGGAAUAUGGUAGGCGAAGAGGUCUGGAAAGGCCCGCGAUAGAGGUAAAAGCCCUGUAGCCUAAACUGUGUUCUCUCCGAGACGGAUCCCGAGUAGUGCGGGGCACGUGAAACCCCGUAUGAAUCCAGCAGGACCAUCUGCUAAGGCUAAAUACUACCUGGCGACCGAUAGUGAAACAGUACCGUGAGGGAAAGGUGAAAAGCACCCCGGAAGGGGAGUGAAAUAGAACCUGAAACCGUGUGCUUACAAAAAGUCAGAGCCCGAUCUAUGGGUGAUGGCGUGCCUUUUGUAGAAUGAACCGGCGAGUUACGUUUAACAUGCAAGGUUAAGGUGAGAAGCCGGAGCCGCAGCGAAAGCGAGUCUGAAUAGGGCGACUAAGUAUGUGGACGUAGACCCGAAACCGUGUGAUCUACCCCUGUCCAGGGUGAAGGUGCGGUAACACGCACUGGAGGCCCGAACCCACGCAUGUUGAAAAAUGCGGGGAUGAGGUGGGGGUAGCGGAGAAAUUCCAAUCGAACUCGGAGAUAGCUGGUUCUCCCCGAAAUAGCUUUAGGGCUAGCCUCGGUGAAUGGAGUGGUGGAGGUAGAGCACUGAUUGGGUGCGGGGCCCGCAAGGGUUACCAAGCUCAGUCAAACUCCGAAUGCCAUUAACUUCUUGCCGGGAGUCAGACAGUGAGUGCUAAGAUCCAUUGUCAAAAGGGAAACAGCCCAGACCAUCAGCUAAGGUCCCCAAGUGUGUGUUAAGUGGGAAAGGAUGUGGAGUUGCACAGACAACCAGGAUGUUGGCUUAGAAGCAGCCACCAUUGAAAGAGUGCGUAAUAGCUCACUGGUCGAGUGACUCUGCGCCGAAAAUGUAACGGGGCUAAACACACCACCGAAGCUAUGGCUAGAUGCAGAGGCAGACCAGGGGAACUGAAACAUCUAAGUACCCUGAGGAAGAGAAAACAAUAGUGAUUCCGUCAGUAGCGGCGAGCGAACGCGGAACAGCCUAAACCAAGGGGCUUGCCCCUUGGGGUUGUGGGACGUCUCACAUGGAGUUACAAAGGAAUAUGGUAGGCGAAGAGGUCUGGAAAGGCCCGCGAUAGAGGUAAAAGCCCUGUAGCCUAAACUGUGUUCUCUCCGAGACGGAUCCCGAGUAGUGCGGGGCACGUGAAACCCCGUAUGAAUCCAGCAGGACCAUCUGCUAAGGCUAAAUACUACCUGGCGACCGAUAGUGAAACAGUACCGUGAGGGAAAGGUGAAAAGCACCCCGGAAGGGGAGUGAAAUAGAACCUGAAACCGUGUGCUUACAAAAAGUCAGAGCCCGAUCUAUGGGUGAUGGCGUGCCUUUUGUAGAAUGAACCGGCGAGUUACGUUUAACAUGCAAGGUUAAGGUGAGAAGCCGGAGCCGCAGCGAAAGCGAGUCUGAAUAGGGCGACUAAGUAUGUGGACGUAGACCCGAAACCGUGUGAUCUACCCCUGUCCAGGGUGAAGGUGCGGUAACACGCACUGGAGGCCCGAACCCACGCAUGUUGAAAAAUGCGGGGAUGAGGUGGGGGUAGCGGAGAAAUUCCAAUCGAACUCGGAGAUAGCUGGUUCUCCCCGAAAUAGCUUUAGGGCUAGCCUCGGUGAAUGGAGUGGUGGAGGUAGAGCACUGAUUGGGUGCGGGGCCCGCAAGGGUUACCAAGCUCAGUCAAACUCCGAAUGCCAUUAACUUCUUGCCGGGAGUCAGACAGUGAGUGCUAAGAUCCAUUGUCAAAAGGGAAACAGCCCAGACCAUCAGCUAAGGUCCCCAAGUGUGUGUUAAGUGGGAAAGGAUGUGGAGUUGCACAGACAACCAGGAUGUUGGCUUAGAAGCAGCCACCAUUGAAAGAGUGCGUAAUAGCUCACUGGUCGAGUGACUCUGCGCCGAAAAUGUAACGGGGCUAAACACACCACCGAAGCUAUGGCUAGGAUCGACUUCACUGCGCCUUUGAGGCGUGUUUAUCCGGAUUGACAUUGAUGCCGUACAUCAUCCACAGGGAUGAAAGGCUAAAUGCUUCCAGGGGAUAAACACAAGGCUUCGAAGCUGGAGUGAAGUCGAUCCUGGGGUAGGGGAGCGUUGUAUGUAGGUUGAAGGUGUACCGUAAGGAGCGCUGGACAGCAUACAAGUGAGAAUGCCGGUAUGAGUAACGAAAAGAUCAGUGAGAAUCUGAUCCGCCGAAAGCCCAAGGUUUCCUGAGGAAGGCUCGUCCGCUCAGGGUAAGUCGGGACCUAAGGCGAGGCCGAAAGGCGUAGUCGAAGGACAACAGUUUGAAAUUACUGUACCACCGUAAUCCGCUAUGAGCGAUGGGGUGACGCAGGAGGGUAGUGACGCGGACUGAUGGAUAUGUCCGUCUAAGCAGUGAAGAGGCAGACCAGGGGAACUGAAACAUCUAAGUACCCUGAGGAAGAGAAAACAAUAGUGAUUCCGUCAGUAGCGGCGAGCGAACGCGGAACAGCCUAAACCAAGGGGCUUGCCCCUUGGGGUUGUGGGACGUCUCACAUGGAGUUACAAAGGAAUAUGGUAGGCGAAGAGGUCUGGAAAGGCCCGCGAUAGAGGUAAAAGCCCUGUAGCCUAAACUGUGUUCUCUCCGAGACGGAUCCCGAGUAGUGCGGGGCACGUGAAACCCCGUAUGAAUCCAGCAGGACCAUCUGCUAAGGCUAAAUACUACCUGGCGACCGAUAGUGAAACAGUACCGUGAGGGAAAGGUGAAAAGCACCCCGGAAGGGGAGUGAAAUAGAACCUGAAACCGUGUGCUUACAAAAAGUCAGAGCCCGAUCUAUGGGUGAUGGCGUGCCUUUUGUAGAAUGAACCGGCGAGUUACGUUUAACAUGCAAGGUUAAGGUGAGAAGCCGGAGCCGCAGCGAAAGCGAGUCUGAAUAGGGCGACUAAGUAUGUGGACGUAGACCCGAAACCGUGUGAUCUACCCCUGUCCAGGGUGAAGGUGCGGUAACACGCACUGGAGGCCCGAACCCACGCAUGUUGAAAAAUGCGGGGAUGAGGUGGGGGUAGCGGAGAAAUUCCAAUCGAACUCGGAGAUAGCUGGUUCUCCCCGAAAUAGCUUUAGGGCUAGCCUCGGUGAAUGGAGUGGUGGAGGUAGAGCACUGAUUGGGUGCGGGGCCCGCAAGGGUUACCAAGCUCAGUCAAACUCCGAAUGCCAUUAACUUCUUGCCGGGAGUCAGACAGUGAGUGCUAAGAUCCAUUGUCAAAAGGGAAACAGCCCAGACCAUCAGCUAAGGUCCCCAAGUGUGUGUUAAGUGGGAAAGGAUGUGGAGUUGCACAGACAACCAGGAUGUUGGCUUAGAAGCAGCCACCAUUGAAAGAGUGCGUAAUAGCUCACUGGUCGAGUGACUCUGCGCCGAAAAUGUAACGGGGCUAAACACACCACCGAAGCUAUGGCUAGAUGCUUUGCAUCUGGGGUAGGGGAGCGUUGUAUGUGGGUUGAAGGUGUACCGUAAGGAGCGCUGGACAGCAUACAAGUGAGAAUGCCGGUAUGAGUAACGAAAAGAUCAGUGAGAAUCUGAUCCGCCGAAAGCCCAAGGUUUCCUGAGGAAGGCUCGUCCGCUCAGGGUAAGUCGGGACCUAAGGCGAGGCCGAAAGGCGUAGUCGAAGGACAACAGUUUGAAAUUACUGUACCACCGUAAUCCGCUAUGAGCGAUGGGGUGACGCAGGAGGGUAGUGACGCGGACUGAUGGAUAUGUCCGUCUAAGCAGUGAAGCUGAUGUGUAGGCAAAUCCGCACAUCAAUAAGGCUGGGCUGUGAUGGGGAGCGAAAAUUGUAGUAGCGAAGCUGGGGUAGGGGAGCGUUGUAUGUAGGUUGAAGGUGUACCGUAAGGAGCGCUGGACAGCAUACAAGUGAGAAUGCCGGUAUGAGUAACGAAAAGAUCAGUGAGAAUCUGAUCCGCCGAAAGCCCAAGGUUUCCUGAGGAAGGCUCGUCCGCUCAGGGUAAGUCGGGACCUAAGGCGAGGCCGAAAGGCGUAGUCGAAGGACAACAGUUUGAAAUUACUGUACCACCGUAAUCCGCUAUGAGCGAUGGGGUGACGCAGGAGGGUAGUGACGCGGACUGAUGGAUAUGUCCGUCUAAGCAGUGAAGCUGAUGUGUAGGCAAAUCCGCACAUCAAUAAGGCUGGGCUGUGAUGGGGAGCGAAAAUUGUAGUAGCGAAGGUCAUGAUCUCACACUGCCAAGAAAAGCCUCUAGCCAGGAGAAGGUGCCCGUACCGCAAACCGACACAGGUAGGCGAGAAGAGAAUUCUAAGGCGCGCGGAAGAACUCUCGUUAAGGAACUCGGCAAAAUGACCUCGUAACUUCGGGAGAAGAGGUGCCUCGGUAGGGUGAAUAGCCCGAGGGGGCCGCAGUGAAAAGGCCCAAGCGACUGUUUAGCAAAAACACAGGUCUGUGCGAAGCCGCAAGGCGAAGUAUACGGGCUGACGCCUGCCCGGUGCUGGAAGGUUAAGGGGAGUGGUUAGGCCGAAGCUGUGAACCGAAGCCCCAGUAAACGGCGGCCGUAACUAUAACGGUCCUAAGGUAGCGAAAUUCCUUGUCAGGUAAAUUCUGACCCGCACGAAUGGCGUAACGACUUGGGCGCUGUCUCAACGAGAGAUCCGGUGAAAUUUUAAUACCUGUGAAGAUGCAGGUUACCCGCGACAAGACGGAAAGACCCCAUGGAGCUUUACUGCAGCUUGAUAUUGAAUUUGGGUACGAUCUGUACAGGAUAGGUGGGAGCCGUUGAGGCAGGAGCGCAAGCUUCUGCGGAGGCGCCGUUGGGAUACCACCCUGAUCGUAUCUAGGUUCUAACCUAGUGCCCUUACCGGGUACGGGGACCGUGUCAGGCGGGCAGUUUGACUGGGGCGGUCGCCUCCUAAAGAGUAACGGAGGCGUUCAAAGGUUCCCUCAGAAUGGUUGGAAAUCAUUCGCAGAGUGCAAAGGCAUAAGGGAGCUUGACUGCGAGACCUACAAGUCGAGCAGGGACGAAAGUCGGACUUAGUGAUCCGGUGGUACCGCAUGGAAGGGCCAUCGCUCAACGGAUAAAAGCUACCCUGGGGAUAACAGGCUUAUCUCCCCCAAGAGUCCACAUCGACGGGGAGGUUUGGCACCUCGAUGUCGGCUCAUCGCAUCCUGGGGCUGAAGUAGGUCCCAAGGGUUGGGCUGUUCGCCCAUUAAAGCGGUACGCGAGCUGGGUUCAGAACGUCGUGAGACAGUUCGGUCCCUAUCUGUCGUGGGCGCAGGAAAUUUGAGAGGAGCUGUCCUUAGUACGAGAGGACCGGGAUGGACGUACCGCUGGUGCAUCAGUUGUUCCGCCAGGAGCAUGGCUGAGUAGCUACGUACGGACGGGAUAAGCGCUGAAAGCAUCUAAGCGUGAAGCCCCCCUCAAGAUGAGAUUUCCCAAUUAGUAAGACCCCUUGAAGACGACGAGGUAGAUAGGUUGGAGGUGGAAGUGCAGCAAUGCAUGGAGCUGACCAAUACUAAUCGGUCGAGGGCUUAUCCAAAUU